This is a non-coding RNA of Podarcis lilfordi (Lilford's wall lizard), 72 nucleotides long. NCBI's taxonomy places the organism in Eukaryota, Metazoa, Chordata, Lepidosauria, Squamata, Lacertidae. The record is from the annotation of a GenBank genome assembly.
GGAAGUUGUUCCUAGUGGUAGAGCAUCUAUUUUGAUUUCAGAAGGUCCCGGGUUCAAGCCCCAGCAUCUCCA